GAUGAACGCUGGCGGCGUGCCUAAUCCAUGCAAGUCGAGCGAACAGACGAGGAGCUUGCUCCUCUGACGUUAGCGGCGGACGGGUGAGUAACACGUGGAUAACCUACCUAUAAGACUGGGAUAACUUCGGGAAACCGGAGCUAAUACCGGAUAAUAUAUUGAACCGCAUGGUUCAAUAGUGAAAGACGGUUUUGCUGUCACUUAUAGAUGGAUCCGCGCCGCAUUAGCUAGUUGGUAAGGUAACGGCUUACCAAGGCAACGAUGCGUAGCCGACCUGAGAGGGUGAUCGGCCACACUGGAACUGAGACACGGUCCAGACUCCUACGGGAGGCAGCAGUAGGGAAUCUUCCGCAAUGGGCGAAAGCCUGACGGAGCAACGCCGCGUGAGUGAUGAAGGUCUUCGGAUCGUAAAACUCUGUUAUUAGGGAAGAACAAAUGUGUAAGUAACUAUGCACGUCUUGACGGUACCUAAUCAGAAAGCCACGGCUAACUACGU
RNAcentral lists this ribosomal RNA (496 nucleotides) under uncultured bacterium. RNAcentral's name for it is "partial 16S ribosomal RNA". It matches the Rfam family "Bacterial small subunit ribosomal RNA", at positions 28 to 506 of the family's 1533-position model. The record is from RNAcentral.